This 253-nucleotide ribosomal RNA is filed under the name uncultured bacterium. Its description in RNAcentral is "partial 16S ribosomal RNA". It matches the Rfam family "Bacterial small subunit ribosomal RNA", at positions 524 to 776 of the family's 1533-position model. The record is from RNAcentral.
UACAGAGGGGGCAAGCGUUAUUCGGAAUUAUUGGGCCUAAAGCAUCCGUAGCCGGCCUUACAAGUCCUCCGUUAAAUCCAGCUGCUUAACAGAUGGGCUGCGGAGGAUACUAUAAGACUAGGAGGCAGGAGAGGCAAGCGGUACUCAGUGGGUAGGGGUAAAAUCCGUUGAUCCAUUGAAGACCACCAGUGGCGAAGGCGGCUUGCCAGAAUGCGCUCGACGGUGAGGGAUGAAAGCUGGGGGAGCAAACCGG